UACGUAGGGUGCAAGCGUUAUCCGGAAUUAUUGGGCGUAAAGAGCUCGUAGGCGGUUUGUCGCGUCUGCUGUGAAAACCCGAGGCUCAACCUCGGGCCUGCAGUGGGUACGGGCAGACUAGAGUGCGGUAGGGGAGAUUGGAAUUCCCGGUGUAGCGGUGGAAUGCGUAGAGAUCGGGAAGAACAUCAGUGGCGAAGGCGGCCUGCUGGGCUGUUGCUGACGCUGAGGCGCGACAGCGUGGGGAGCAAACAGG
Molecule: ribosomal RNA, 253 nt
Filed under: uncultured bacterium
Lineage: Bacteria
Description: partial 16S ribosomal RNA
Rfam family: Bacterial small subunit ribosomal RNA
Source: RNAcentral